Molecule: transfer RNA, 81 nt
Filed under: Penicillium paxilli ATCC 26601
Lineage: Eukaryota; Fungi; Ascomycota; Eurotiomycetes; Eurotiales; Aspergillaceae
Description: tRNA-Arg (TCT) (tRNA-Arg-TCT-3-1)
Rfam family: tRNA
About the family: Transfer RNA (tRNA) molecules are approximately 80 nucleotides in length. Their secondary structure includes four short double-helical elements and three loops (D, anti-codon, and T loops).
Source: RNAcentral
GCACCGAUAGCUCAGGGGUAGAGCGAGGUUGGUCAUAUGACUUCUAGUCCUAGGUCGGGCGUUCAAAUCGCCCUCGGUGCU